RNAcentral lists this ribosomal RNA (418 nucleotides) under uncultured bacterium. RNAcentral's name for it is "partial 16S ribosomal RNA". It matches the Rfam family "Bacterial small subunit ribosomal RNA", at positions 338 to 754 of the family's 1533-position model. The record is from RNAcentral.
CCUACGGGAGGCUGCAGUGAGGAAUAUUGGUCAAUGGGCGAGAGCCUGAACCAGCCAAGUCGCGUGAGGGAGUACUGCCCUAUGGGUUGUAAACCUCUUUUGUCGGGGAGCAAAAGCCGGACGUGGCCGGCUGUGAGAGUACCCGAAGAAAAAGCAGCGGCGAACUCCGUGCCAGCAGCCGCGGUAAUACGGAGGAUGCGAGCGUUAUCCGGAUUUAUUGGGUUUAAAGGGUGCGUAGGCGGUUUGAUAAGUUAGAGGGGAAAUGUCGGGGCUCAACCCCGAAACUGCCUCUAAGACUGUUGGACUAGUGCAUAGUUGCGGUCGGCGGUAUGUAUGUUGUCGCGGUGAAAUGCUUCGAGAUCAUACAGAACCCCGAUUGCGCAGGCAGCUUACCACACUAUAUCUGACGUUGAGGCAC